GGGGUUGUACUGGUUUCGACGGGGGUUUUGAAGUUAGAGAAGCCAUUCGUGGACCAGAUCCACGUAAAAAGCUGGAAAUUAAAUAUAAACGCUAACGAAGAAAGUUACGCUUACGCUGCCUAGUGGCAGCUGUCGCGCCUGAAUUUCCCGCGAUUCAGUCACGCGGCAUCAAAGGAUGCGGGGACCUUUGCUGUCAAAGCUUUGAGACAGUAAAAGAAUCAUGAAGCUACUGAGUCUUUUUCCCUGUUGACCGGGAAGAGGACGAGGGAAUGAAUAAAGAUCAACUGUAAUGGGAGAAACUUUAAUGGAUGGGCUUUCGGACAGGGGUUCGAUUCCCCUCAGCUCCAU
RNAcentral lists this transfer-messenger RNA (348 nucleotides) under chicken gut metagenome. It matches the Rfam family "transfer-messenger RNA". Rfam says of the family: Bacterial tmRNA, also known as 10Sa RNA or SsrA, is named for its dual tRNA and mRNA-like properties. Its role is to liberate the mRNA from a stalled ribosome. To accomplish this part of the tmRNA is used as a reading frame that ends in a translation stop signal. The record is from RNAcentral.